UGUUGAUGAUGUGAAACACUC
Non-coding RNA from Caenorhabditis elegans, 21 nucleotides. The record is from Ensembl. NCBI's taxonomy places the organism in Eukaryota, Metazoa, Nematoda, Chromadorea, Rhabditida, Rhabditidae.